RNAcentral lists this small nucleolar RNA (94 nucleotides) under Homo sapiens (human). RNAcentral describes it as "small nucleolar RNA, C/D box 116-12 (SNORD116-12)". It matches the Rfam family "Small nucleolar RNA SNORD116". Rfam says of the family: HBII-85 is a member of the C/D class of snoRNAs, which contain the C (UGAUGA) and D (CUGA) box motifs. HBII-85 is encoded in a tandemly repeated array with another C/D snoRNA, HBII-52, in the Prader-Willi syndrome (PWS) region of chromosome 15. Unlike most other snoRNAs, HBII-85 is expressed prevalently in the brain (but is absent in PWS patients) and lacks any significant complementarity with ribosomal RNA. The record is from RNAcentral. Lineage: Eukaryota; Metazoa; Chordata; Mammalia; Primates; Hominidae.
UGGAUCAAUGAUGACUUCCAUAUAUACAUUCCUUGGAAAGCUGAAUAAAAUGAAUGAAAACUCUAUACCAUCAUCCUCAUUGAACUGAGGUCCC